UACGUAGGGUCCGAGCGUUGUCCGGAAUUAUUGGGCGUAAAGAGCUCGUAGGCGGUUUGUCGCGUCUGCUGUGAAAUCCCGAGGCUCAACCUCGGGCCUGCAGUGGGUACGGGCAGACUUGAGUGGUGUAGGGGAGACUGGAAUUCCUGGUGUAGCGGUGGAAUGCGCAGAUAUCAGGAGGAACACCGAUGGCGAAGGCAGGUCUCUGGGCACUUACUGACGCUGAGACGCGAAAGCGUGGGGAGCGAACCGG
This 253-nucleotide ribosomal RNA is filed under the name uncultured bacterium. RNAcentral describes it as "partial 16S ribosomal RNA". It matches the Rfam family "Bacterial small subunit ribosomal RNA", at positions 524 to 776 of the family's 1533-position model. The record is from RNAcentral.